Molecule: ribosomal RNA, 221 nt
Filed under: Ligilactobacillus salivarius
Lineage: Bacteria; Bacillati; Bacillota; Bacilli; Lactobacillales; Lactobacillaceae
Description: Lactobacillus salivarius partial 16S ribosomal RNA
Rfam family: Bacterial small subunit ribosomal RNA
Source: RNAcentral
UUUAAAUUGAGAGUUUGAUCCUGGCUCAGGACGAACGCUGGCGGCGUGCCUAAUACAUGCAAGUCGAACGAAACUUUCUUACACCGAAUGCUUGCAUUCACCGUAAGAAGUUGAGUGGCGGACGGGUGAGUAACACGUGGGUAACCUGCCUAAAAGAAGGGGAUAACACUUGGAAACAGGUGCUAAUACCGUAUAUCUCUAAGGAUCGCAUGAUCUUUAGA